This 242-nucleotide unclassified non-coding RNA is filed under the name Hevea brasiliensis (rubber tree). Lineage: Eukaryota; Viridiplantae; Streptophyta; Magnoliopsida; Malpighiales; Euphorbiaceae. The record is from RNAcentral.
GAACCAACCGAGACAGGGUACUUAUUAGAGAGGCAAUGGUAAAAGGCUCCAUUGUACUUAUUGUGAUAAGAGUAAUCAUACUCAAGACACUUGUUGGGCCUUUCAUAAUCGACUGCCACACCCCAUUCAGUCAAAUAAUGUGAACCGAUCAACUGCUCAUAUAGUUCAAUCCGGUGAAAAUCGUAUUCUUCCAUUACCUAAUAGAAAGGAUCAGGUGCCAGAUUCUAUCCUAUUAACUGGAG